UAUUCCUGCUCUUUCAAAUUGUUCUUUCUUGUUUCUUUCUUUUCCUUUGGUUUUUGCGUACUGGACGUGCUGGAUUUUUUAGUUUGUUGUUUAUUGCCUGGAUUCUAAAUUCAAGUGUUUCUUCCGUUUCAUCUUGCCGAUUGAUAUUGAGUGGUUGGGACUUUUGUUCUUUAACGUCGCACUAAUCAAGGAUUUUGUUUUCUUUUUACGUUAACUUAAUAAGAGUGACUUUCAUUGUCCUAUGAUCGGAGUUUCCAAUGAUUCUUUCUAAUUCUUUUCUCAUCAAUUGCCCCUAUUUUGUUUCCUAAUUUCUUCUCCCCAUAUCUGGAGUUUUAGUGUUAUGUUUUCUUUGUCCUGUGUGUUUAGAAGGAAAUUUUCUUGUUGUUGAUUAAUCUGCUUCGGUUUCCCUUGAAACUGCUGGCUGGAGGGAAUUUGACAACGAGGCAGGGUGCUUUGUACUUUUGGUGGGAAACUUUAGACCAACUGCUUUUGUUAAUUCUUCUUUAUUUAUUGAGUG
Long non-coding RNA from Cucurbita moschata (crookneck pumpkin), 517 nucleotides. RefSeq lists it as uncharacterized. The transcript is spliced from 4 exons. The record is from RefSeq and is a predicted model, not a curated record. NCBI's taxonomy places the organism in Eukaryota, Viridiplantae, Streptophyta, Magnoliopsida, Cucurbitales, Cucurbitaceae.